GACGAACGCUGGCGGCGUGCUUAACACAUGCAAGUCGAACGGAAAGGCCUGCUUUCCCUUGUGGAUUGCGGGUACUCGAGUGGCGAACGGGUGAGUAACACGUGAGUGAUCUGCCCCCAACUUGGGUAUAAGCCUGGGAAACUGGGUCUAAUUCCCGAUAGGACUGCAGGGUGGUGCCUGUGGUGGAAAACGAUUUUCUAGUGGUUGGGGAUGAGCUCGCGGCCUAUCAGCUUGUUGGUGGGGUAAUGGCCUACCAAGGCGGCGACGGGUAGCCGGCCUGGAGGGGUGGACGGCCACAUUGGGACUGAGAUACGGCCCAGACUCCUACGGGAGGCAGCAGUGGGGAAUAUUGCACAAUGGGCGGAAGCCUGAUGCAGCGACGCCGCGUGGGGGAUGACGGCCUUCGGGUUGUAAACUCCUUUCGACCGCGAGGAAGCCACCUGGUUGGAAGGGUGGUGACGGUAGUGGUAGAAGAAGCACCGGCUAACUACGUG
This 494-nucleotide ribosomal RNA is filed under the name uncultured bacterium. RNAcentral's name for it is "partial 16S ribosomal RNA". It matches the Rfam family "Bacterial small subunit ribosomal RNA", at positions 28 to 507 of the family's 1533-position model. The record is from RNAcentral.